RNAcentral lists this ribosomal RNA (725 nucleotides) under uncultured Lachnospiraceae bacterium. RNAcentral's name for it is "bacterial SSU rRNA". It matches the Rfam family "Bacterial small subunit ribosomal RNA", at positions 46 to 771 of the family's 1533-position model. The record is from RNAcentral. Lineage: Bacteria; Bacillati; Bacillota; Clostridia; Lachnospirales; Lachnospiraceae.
GCCUAACACAUGCAAGUCGAACGAAGCAAUUAAGAUGAAGUUUUCGGAUGGAAUCUUGAUUGACUGAGUGGCGGACGGGUGAGUAACGCGUGGAUAACCUGCCUCACACUGGGGGAUAACAGUUAGAAAUGACUGCUAAUACCGCAUAAGCGCACAGUGCCGCAUGGCAGUGUGUGAAAAACUCCGGUGGUGUGAGAUGGAUCCGCGUCUGAUUAGCCAGUUGGCGGGGUAACGGCCCACCAAAGCGACGAUCAGUAGCCGACCUGAGAGGGUGACCGGCCACAUUGGGACUGAGACACGGCCCAAACUCCUACGGGAGGCAGCAGUGGGGAAUAUUGCACAAUGGGCGAAAGCCUGAUGCAGCGACGCCGCGUGAGUGAAGAAGUAUUUCGGUAUGUAAAGCUCUAUCAGCAGGGAAGAAAAUGACGGUACCUGACUAAGAAGCCCCGGCUAACUACGUGCCAGCAGCCGCGGUAAUACGUANGGGGCAAGCGUUAUCCGGAUUUACUGGGUGUAAAGGGAGCGUAGACGGCGAAGCAAGUCUGAAGUGAAAACCCAGGGCUCAACCCUGGGACUGCUUUGGAAACUGUUUUGCUAGAGUGUCGGAGAGGUAAGUGGAAUUCCUAGUGUAGCGGUGAAAUGCGUAGAUAUUAGGAGGAACACCAGUGGCGAAGGCGGCUUACUGGACGAUAACUGACGUUGAGGCUCGAAAGCGUGGGGAGCAA